Molecule: ribosomal RNA, 714 nt
Filed under: Triticum aestivum (bread wheat)
Lineage: Eukaryota; Viridiplantae; Streptophyta; Magnoliopsida; Poales; Poaceae
Description: partial small subunit ribosomal RNA
Source: RNAcentral
AUGGCGGAUGCACCUCUGUACAAGCAGCGCCACAGGUACACCAGGGAGCUCCACGACGUCGACCUCCACGGCAACCACAAGCUCCACGUCAUUGGCACAAGCAAGGGUGAAGACGUGGACAAGAUGUUGUCCACGCUCAGUAGGAAGCUCGGCGGAAUGCCCGUCAAACUAGUCGGCAUUGAUGUCGAGUACACGCACUACGUGAAGCCACAGCGGGCAGGAGUGCUCCAGCUAUGCGUAGAAAAAGAAUGCCUUGUCUACCACAUCUCUACAGCUAAAGACAGGCCAAUGGAACUAGACAAAUUCCUCAUGAAUGGUGAGUACACCUUCGUCGGAUUCGCCAUUGAAGGAGACAAAAGCAAGCUGAAGCUAUCUGGUUUGGAGAUCAACUCCGACAACUACAUUGAUAUUCAGGUGGAAUGGAGAGACCCAUACAAUAAAAAGAAGUUUGACUCUUUGGCUGAUGUUGCCUGCAGGAUGAUAGACAUUCACUACCAUGACAUGAAGAAAAAAAUUAACAGCAAAGAGGACCAUACUCUGUGGGGAUUUUGCCCGCUGCCAGAAAAGCUUAUCAAGUAUGCAGCAAUAGAUGCAUUCGCAACAUUUGAGUCAUGGAGAAUCAUCUAUGAUGUCAUAAUGGGACUGGACAGGGCAAAAAGAGACAAAGAAGCAAAGAAGAAGAAGAACAAGGCUGUAAUCCAAUACAGCAACUAG